RNAcentral lists this ribosomal RNA (497 nucleotides) under uncultured bacterium. RNAcentral describes it as "partial 16S ribosomal RNA". It matches the Rfam family "Bacterial small subunit ribosomal RNA", at positions 28 to 507 of the family's 1533-position model. The record is from RNAcentral.
GAUGAACGCUGGCGGCGUGCCUAACACAUGCAAGUCGAGCGAACAGACGAGGCGCUUGCUCCUCUGACGUUAGCGGAGGACGGGUGAGUAACACGUGGAUCCUCCACCUAUCAGUCUGGGAUCACUUCGGGAAAGCGGCGCUAAUACCGGAUAAUAUAUUGAACCGCAUGGUUCAAUAGUGAAAUACGGUUUUGCUGUAACUUAUCGCGGCAUACGGGCGGCUUUAGGUAGUUGGUAGGGUAAAGGCUUACCAAGGCAAGCAUGCGUGGACGAGGUGUGAGGCUGGUCGCCGACACGAGAGCUGAGACACGGACCAGGCUCCUGCGGUAGGCAGCAGUAGGGUAUCGUACGCAAUAGGCGAAAGCUUGACGGAGCAACGGCACGUGAGUGAUGAAGGUCUUCGGAGCGUAAUACUCUGUUAUGAGUGAUGAACAGAUUUGUAAGUAACUGUGCACGUCUUGACGGUACCGGAUCAGAAAGCCACGGCUAACUACGUG